GAUGAACGCUGGCGGCGUGCCUAAUACAUGCAAGUCGAGCGAACAGACGAGGAGCUUGCUCCUCUGACGUUAGCGGCGGACGGGUGAGUAACACGUGGAUAACCUACCUAUAUGACUGGGAUAACUUCGGGAAACCGGCGCUAAUACCGGAUAAUCUAUUGAACCGCAUGGUUCAAUAGUGAAAGACGGUUUUGCUGUCACUUCUAGAUGGUUCCGCGCCGCAUUAGCUAGUUGGUAAGGUAACGGGUUACCAAGGCAACGAUGCCUAGCCGACCUGAGAGGGUGAUCGGCCACACUGGAGCGGAGACACGGACCAGAGUCCUACGGGAGGCAGCAGUAGGGAAUCUUCCGCAAUGGGCGAAAGCAUUACGGAGCAACGCCGCGUGAGUGAUGAAGGUCUUCGGAGCGUAAAACUCUGUUAUGAGGGAAGAACAAAUGUGUAAGUAACUAUGCACGUCUUGACGGUACCUAAUCAGAAAGCCACGGCUAACUACGUG
RNAcentral lists this ribosomal RNA (497 nucleotides) under uncultured bacterium. RNAcentral describes it as "partial 16S ribosomal RNA". It matches the Rfam family "Bacterial small subunit ribosomal RNA", at positions 28 to 507 of the family's 1533-position model. The record is from RNAcentral.